UAUAAAUUCAAAGAAUAGUUUAUAGCUAUCUCUCUCAAUAAAAUAAAACUACAACACCACCUAUAAACAUACAGUAUUCUAUACAUAAUUGUUGGAAUCUACAUCUUUUGUGAAGCUUGUUGCUGUCUAUGAGUAACGAUCAAGUUGAAGGCUAUGGCAAAUGCACUUGUUAUAACUAUUGAAUUGUAUCGUUUUUUUUCUUCUUUCCCUUGUAACCUAUAUCAAUUUUUAGUUUUUGUACAUAUUUAAACAUCCUUGUA
Molecule: long non-coding RNA, 260 nt
Organism: Medicago truncatula (barrel medic)
Lineage: Eukaryota; Viridiplantae; Streptophyta; Magnoliopsida; Fabales; Fabaceae
Exons: 2
Source: RefSeq, a predicted model, not a curated record